RNAcentral lists this transfer RNA (71 nucleotides) under Cryptoperla kawasawai. RNAcentral's name for it is "tRNA-Val". It matches the Rfam family "tRNA". From Rfam's summary of the family: Transfer RNA (tRNA) molecules are approximately 80 nucleotides in length. Their secondary structure includes four short double-helical elements and three loops (D, anti-codon, and T loops). Further hydrogen bonds mediate the characteristic L-shaped molecular structure. tRNAs have two regions of fundamental functional importance: the anti-codon, which is responsible for specific mRNA codon recognition, and the 3' end, to which the tRNAs corresponding amino acid is attached (by aminoacyl-tRNA synthetases). tRNAs cope with the degeneracy of the genetic code in two manners: having more than one tRNA (with a specific anti-codon) for a particular amino acid; and 'wobble' base-pairing, i.e. permitting non-standard base-pairing at the 3rd anti-codon position. Lineage: Eukaryota; Metazoa; Arthropoda; Insecta; Plecoptera; Peltoperlidae. The record is from RNAcentral.
CAAUUCAGAGCUUGGUGAGUAAAGCAUCUCAUUUACACUGAGAAGUUGUCGUGCGAAUCGGCUUGAUUUGA